Pogoniulus pusillus (Red-fronted tinkerbird) is the source of this 291-nucleotide long non-coding RNA. RefSeq lists it as uncharacterized. Lineage: Eukaryota; Metazoa; Chordata; Aves; Piciformes; Lybiidae. The record is from RefSeq and is a predicted model, not a curated record. The transcript is spliced from 3 exons.
UUCAACCCUAACUAAGUCUCAAACCAAGGACAUCAUCGUGCCCUCUGGAGAGCUUCGGGACCUGCCUGGAUGUGUUCCUGUGGGAUCUGUUGUAGUGGGACCUUAUUUUGCCAUCUGUGUUCUGGACAUCUGGUAUCAUUAAGCUGAAAGGUGCAAAUGAAUGACACUGGUAAUUUGGUCUGCUUGAAUGUCUGUGCCUAGCAUCGGAGGGUCAGAUGGGUUCCAAGUCGUGGAUAUCAGUCACAGAGGAGAUGGUGCCUUGUGCUAUCCAGGGGCAUGGAGAAGGCAUUA